CUGACCCGGAUGGUGGAUCAUAUGGAGAGACACCUCUGGUAGCUGCGGCAACAGAUGGGCUAACUCAAACUAUCAAGCAUUUAAUUCAAGCUGGUGCUAAUCCAGAUAUCACGGAUACUUAUGGACUCACACCAUUAGAAAUUGCCGCACUCAAUGGUUAUCAUAAUGCUGUUGAGAUUCUUUUCCCUGUAACCUCUCGUAUUCCGGAAUAUAUCAACUGGAGCGUCGGUGGAGUAAUUGCACAUGUACAGUCUGAUCAAGCUAAGGAACAGAGGGAGCUGAAAGCCAAGGAAAAGUUUGACGAGGCAAAGUUAAGUGGUGCAGAUGCAUUUAAGAAACAGGACUAUUUUAACGCAAUGGUUUGCUACUCAGGCAAACGAAAUUGAUCCGCAUGCUGCAAUUAUACUUUCUAACCGUAGUAUGUGCUUGGCCCGCAUGAAAGAAGGCACAGAGGCCUUAGAAGAUGCCAAUGCAUGCAUAUCACUAAGGCCAGAUUGGCCUAAGGCUUAUUAUAGAGCAGGUGUAGCGUACACUUUACUACGAAGGUACAGUGAUGCACAAAAGGCCUUCCUCGACGGUUUGAAGUUGAGUCCUAAUAAUCAAGAGCUUAAAGAUGCAUUCAGGUGGAAUUC
Papaver somniferum (opium poppy) is the source of this 632-nucleotide long non-coding RNA. RefSeq lists it as uncharacterized. NCBI's taxonomy places the organism in Eukaryota, Viridiplantae, Streptophyta, Magnoliopsida, Ranunculales, Papaveraceae. The transcript has 5 exons. The record is from RefSeq and is a predicted model, not a curated record.